Pygocentrus nattereri (red-bellied piranha) is the source of this 1084-nucleotide long non-coding RNA. RefSeq lists it as uncharacterized. The transcript is spliced from 2 exons. The record is from RefSeq and is a predicted model, not a curated record. Lineage: Eukaryota; Metazoa; Chordata; Actinopteri; Characiformes; Serrasalmidae.
ACAUUUGCUGGUAUCUGCUGUUGGAGGAGAGAGUGAGAGAGUGUGAGAGAGAGAGAGAGAGAGAGAGAGUAAGAAGGGGUGGUGUCACAGAGCAAGGGAAGAGAGAUGGGCUGCAGGCAAGCUUUUCAUGGGUGGCAGGUGGAAUAAUUGUGUGAAAGGGGUGAAAUGGAAAGAAAGCUGGAGAGGGAGAGAGAAGAACGAUGGAGCAGAAAGAAAAAGACAGCUAGAGAUCAAGUUGACUUGUGAGGCAGAUAGCAGAAGCAGCAGCAGCAGCCUCAACUGACAAACAGGGACAACACCGAUAAUAGGCCGUGUUCACCCAAUCAUCUCUCGCCCUGGCUUGUCCCCCUGCAUUCCUGCAAGCGUCUUUGCCAAAAGGGGCCUAGCCAGGCUUCAGAGCGGGCUAAUGCAUCGUAUCAUGGCAAAGCCAGCACGAGACGGCGACUUACAACAGCAUGCCUAAUGAAAAGACUUAUUCUGCUGGCAGGCCAACAAACGGCACCAUGAUUACAAAGGAGGGCGAGGAAAAAUAAACCAGAACAGGCCCGUUGUGCUGUGAGAUGCCACAGCUGACAGCUAGGAAAUGUACAUAUGUGUGUGUGUGUGUUUGUAAAGGCCAAGGAGACACACACACACACAUUCAGGAGUCAGUGAGUGUGAAAUGGCUGCCUGGAUUGCCCUGAGCUCCCCCCAGCUCCAGUGCUCCAGAAGCAGCAGCCCAGCCAGCUGGCUCUCCCUCCUCUCCCCAGCCAAGAAGAGGCCCGUCUGGGCAUCAGUCAGCCCGCAGCCCUGCCGCACACAUCUGGAGCUUAUUGUUCCACCGGGCGGAAUUAUUCCACAUGCAACACUGUCAGGAGCUUUCCUAUUACACACCAGCGGAGCAUGUUCAUUCUCUUUCCGACUGAUGUUUCAGGCCUCAUGUGAAGGCAUCCCUUUGAAGCAUCACCAUUUGUAACUGUCUCUAAAUAAUGGACUACUACCAACGAGUUCUUGCUUUAAGGAAUGGUUUAGUAUUUUGACUUAAAGGAACGACUAAACUAUGUAACUGAUUAAACCUCAUUAAAGUGUACCUUCUUGAUCUUUA